Molecule: ribosomal RNA, 446 nt
Filed under: uncultured bacterium
Lineage: Bacteria
Description: partial 16S ribosomal RNA
Rfam family: Bacterial small subunit ribosomal RNA
Source: RNAcentral
CCUACGGGUGGCAGCAGUCGAGAAUCAUUCACAAUGGGGGAAACCCUGAUGGUGCGACGCCGCGUGGGGGAAUGAAGGUCUUCGGAUUGUAAACCCCUGUCAUGUGGGAGCAAAUUAAAAGGAUAGUACCACAAGAGGAAGAGACGGCUAACUCUGUGCCAGCAGCCGCGGUAAUACAGAGGUCUCAAGCGUUGUUCGGAAUCACGGGGCGUAAAGCGUGCGUAGGCUGUUUCGUAAGUCGUGUGUGAAAGGCGCGGGCUCAACCCGCGGACGGCACAUGAUACUGCGAGACUAGAGUAAGGGAGGGGGAACAGGAAUUCUCGGUGUAGCAGUGAAAUGCGUAGAUAUCGAGAGGAACACUCGUGGCGAAGGCGGGUUCCUGGACAUUAACUGACGCUGAGGCACGAAGGCCAGGGGAGCGAAAGGGAUUAGAUACCCCGGUAGUC